This is a long non-coding RNA of Sinocyclocheilus grahami, 455 nucleotides long. RefSeq lists it as uncharacterized. Lineage: Eukaryota; Metazoa; Chordata; Actinopteri; Cypriniformes; Cyprinidae. The record is from RefSeq and is a predicted model, not a curated record. The transcript is spliced from 3 exons.
CUUUCUAAAGUUCCUUACCUCCAAGUCACCUGGGCCAGAUGCCAGGUCAAAAUGUACAAAAGCCUGUUAGUUCUUCAUCCCAUUGUUCCAAAGGAGUCCAAAGCCAAGAAAGCACCAGGCGUAUUACUGCCAUUCCAAGUGAGUUUGUCCAAGGUGCCAUCCGAAGGAUUUCUCCUACACUUUCCAGCAGCUACAGACAAGCUGAGCAAAACCAGCCUCAAUUUAACAGCUUGGAUUCCUUGGCCUCGAAGUGUGAAGUGACCCAGAAUAGCCCUGCAGGUUUUGGUCAACAGGGCCCAGUCAGAUUCCAGGAAGCGAACCUCUCCAUUUAGAAGCAGUUCUCAACAUCUGCUAUAAACCUUGAUUAGGUGUGUUUUGGGGAGGCUGUCAGUCAUCAGGCUCCGGUCUUUGCAAGGACCGCAGGAUGCUCCGAGUGAUCCAGUGCGCUGCUGUUC